Molecule: ribosomal RNA, 261 nt
Filed under: uncultured prokaryote
Description: partial 16S ribosomal RNA
Rfam family: Bacterial small subunit ribosomal RNA
Source: RNAcentral
UACGGAGGAUGCGAGCGUUAUCCGGAUUUAUUGGGUUUAAAGGGUGCGUAGGCGGCUUUUUAAGUCAGCGGUGAAAUUUUGCAGCUUAACUGUAACAGUGCCGUUGAUACUGGGGAGCUAGGAUUUGGUUGCUGUGGGUGGAAUGUGUGGUGUAGCGGUGAAAUGCUUAGAAAUCACACAGAAUAUCGAUUGCGAAGGCAGCUCACAAAGCCAAGAUUGACGCUGAGGCACGAAAGUGUGGGGAUCAAACAGGAUUAGAUA